GCUUCUGUAGCUCAGUUGGUAGAGCAGAGGACUGAAAAUCCUCGUGUCGUUGGUUCGAUUCCGACCGGAAGCACCA
RNAcentral lists this transfer RNA (76 nucleotides) under Candidatus Limimonas egerieequi. RNAcentral describes it as "tRNA-Phe". It matches the Rfam family "tRNA". Rfam says of the family: Transfer RNA (tRNA) molecules are approximately 80 nucleotides in length. Their secondary structure includes four short double-helical elements and three loops (D, anti-codon, and T loops). Further hydrogen bonds mediate the characteristic L-shaped molecular structure. tRNAs have two regions of fundamental functional importance: the anti-codon, which is responsible for specific mRNA codon recognition, and the 3' end, to which the tRNAs corresponding amino acid is attached (by aminoacyl-tRNA synthetases). tRNAs cope with the degeneracy of the genetic code in two manners: having more than one tRNA (with a specific anti-codon) for a particular amino acid; and 'wobble' base-pairing, i.e. permitting non-standard base-pairing at the 3rd anti-codon position. Lineage: Bacteria; Bacillati; Bacillota; Clostridia; Eubacteriales; Acutalibacteraceae. The record is from RNAcentral.